GUCCAAGUAAGGACACAGGAUGAACAUGGGGGCCCAUGCUCAGCUCCUGGGGCUCCUGCUGCUCUGGAUCCAAGGUGCCAGAGGUGACAUCCAGGUGACCCAGUCUCCAACAUCCCUUUCUGCAGCUGUAGGAGACACAGUCACCAUCACUUGCAGGGCCAGUGAGGACAUUAGCUAUGCUUUAAACUGGUAUCAACAGAAAUCAGGAAAAGCCCCUAAACUGAUGAUCAAAGCAGCAGAUGAAUUAGCACCUGGGGUCCCUCCAAGAUUCAGUGGCAGUAGAUCCGGGACAGAUUUCACUCUCACCAUCAGCAGCCUGGAGCCUGAAGAUGUUGCCACUUAUUACUGUCUACAGGCCUAUAGUACCCCUCCCACAGUGAUACAAGCCAUGACAUAA
Molecule: non-coding RNA, 397 nt
Organism: Heterocephalus glaber (naked mole-rat)
Lineage: Eukaryota; Metazoa; Chordata; Mammalia; Rodentia; Bathyergidae
Source: the annotation of a RefSeq genome assembly